GAAAUGCGAUACGUAGUGUGAAUUGCAGAAUUCCGUGAACCAUCGAAUCUUUGAACGCAAAUUGCGCUCGAGGCCUCGGCCAAGAGCAUGUCUGCCUCAGCGUCGGCUACUACCCUCAACUAAGUUUCCUAGUUACAUAGGGGAUGCCGGUUGGAUCUGGCCGUCCGGUUUGCCUUUCAGGUGCCGGUCAGCUGAAAUAUAUUCACGCUCUGGGGGCUGCUUUCCUUUCGAGGAGAGGCGAGUUCCGAUUUGGUAGGUGACCUUUGCCGGUUACAUGCCUUCGUUGCCCGCUAAGCUUCCCAGUAUGCGUUGUGCAGGACGCCUUUUGGCUUUCGACCUGAGGUCAGGCGGGGCUACCCGCUGAGUUUAA
Molecule: unclassified non-coding RNA, 370 nt
Filed under: uncultured fungus
Lineage: Eukaryota; Fungi
Description: sequence contains ITS1
Rfam family: 5.8S ribosomal RNA (bases 1-105)
Source: RNAcentral